This 65-nucleotide transfer RNA is filed under the name Aplidium conicum. Its description in RNAcentral is "transfer RNA-Glu". The record is from RNAcentral. Lineage: Eukaryota; Metazoa; Chordata; Ascidiacea; Aplousobranchia; Polyclinidae.
AAUUUUUUAGUUUACUUAAAACAUUAGUUUUUCGGGCUAAAGAUACUAUUUGUAAGUAAAAAUCA